CAGCCGCCGCGGUAAUACGUAGGGUGCAAGCGUUAAUCGGAAUUACUGGGCGUAAAGCGUGCGCAGGCGGUUCGCUAAGACAGAUGUGAAAUCCCCGGGCUUAACCUGGGAACUGCAUUUGUGACUGCACAGCUAGAGUAUGGCAGAGGGGGGUGGAAUUCCACAUGUAGCAGUGAAAUGCGUAGAGAUGUGGAGGAACACCGAUGGCGAAGGCAGCCCCCUGGGCCAAUACUGACGCUCAUGCACGAAAGCGUGGGGAGCAAACAGGAUUAGAUACCCCAGUAGUCCCUGUCUCUUAUAC
RNAcentral lists this ribosomal RNA (301 nucleotides) under uncultured bacterium. Its description in RNAcentral is "partial 16S ribosomal RNA". It matches the Rfam family "Bacterial small subunit ribosomal RNA", at positions 509 to 807 of the family's 1533-position model. The record is from RNAcentral.